This 301-nucleotide ribosomal RNA is filed under the name uncultured bacterium. Its description in RNAcentral is "partial 16S ribosomal RNA". It matches the Rfam family "Bacterial small subunit ribosomal RNA", at positions 509 to 807 of the family's 1533-position model. The record is from RNAcentral.
CAGCAGCCGCGGUAAUACGUAGGGUGCGAGCGUUAAUCGGAAUUACUGGGCGUAAGGCGUGCGUAGGCGGUGAGUUAAGUCUGCUGUGAAAUCCCCGGGCUCAACCUGGGAAUGGCAGUGGAUACUGGCUCGCUAGAGUGUGUCAGAGGAUGGUGGAAUUCCCGGUGUAGCGGUGAAAUGCGUAGAGAUCGGGAGGAACAUCAGUGGCGAAGGCGGCCAUCUGGGACAACACUGACGCUGAGGCACGAAAGCGUGGGGAGCAAACAGGAUUAGAUACCCCCGUAGUCCCUGUCUCUUAUAC